This 77-nucleotide transfer RNA is filed under the name Flavobacteriaceae bacterium. RNAcentral's name for it is "tRNA-Met". It matches the Rfam family "tRNA". From Rfam's summary of the family: Transfer RNA (tRNA) molecules are approximately 80 nucleotides in length. The record is from RNAcentral. Lineage: Bacteria; Pseudomonadati; Bacteroidota; Flavobacteriia; Flavobacteriales; Flavobacteriaceae.
GGGCCUAUAGCUCAAUUGGUUAGAGCAACGGUCUCAUAAACCGUAGGUUCCUGGUUCAAGUCCAGGUGGGCCCACCA